This is a long non-coding RNA of Ictalurus punctatus (channel catfish), 623 nucleotides long. RefSeq lists it as uncharacterized. Lineage: Eukaryota; Metazoa; Chordata; Actinopteri; Siluriformes; Ictaluridae. The record is from RefSeq and is a predicted model, not a curated record. The transcript has 2 exons.
CUUUUCCUUACAACCUUGUGGUAUUUUCUCAAUCAUAUUUCCUGACAAUAAAAUAGCAUUUAAAUUUUUCUAAUAUAUUUAUAUAUGUUAAAUCCCACACAUUACAUUCAUUUCCCCCAUUUAGCUUUUCAGUGAUUUAUUUCACUUUCACGAACACAUUAGUUUCAUUAUUAUUCAUUCAGUCAUUUUUUAUUUAUUUAUUUUUUUUUACAUACUGUGUAUUAGAAUUUUUGGAUACUGAAUUGUUCUGUGGUCUGUUCAUUCACACAAAUAAAACACACAACAUUGUUUAUGUUCAAACAGUUUGUUUAUCAAUACAAAGUUGUGUUUUGUGGAUAUUAGAGGUGGUGGGUGGGCGUGGCCGGGGUGUGUGUAUUAGAGGCAGUGGGUGGGUGUGGCCUGUGUGUGUAUUAGAGGUGGUGGGUGGGCGUGGCCGAGGUGUGUGUAUUAGAGGCAGUGGGUGGGUGUGGCCCGUGUGUAUUAGAGGUGGUGGGUGGGCGUGGCCAGGGCACAUGUAUUAGAGGUGGGUGGGGGUUCGAGGUGGUGGGUGGGCAUGGUCAGAGCCCAUGUGUUAGAGGUGGGUGGGCGUGGCCGGGGCGUGCAGCAGCUCCUGGUUCCCCAGG